Molecule: ribosomal RNA, 630 nt
Filed under: Bacillus sp. (in: firmicutes)
Lineage: Bacteria; Bacillati; Bacillota; Bacilli; Caryophanales; Bacillaceae
Description: bacterial SSU rRNA
Rfam family: Bacterial small subunit ribosomal RNA
Source: RNAcentral
AUACAUGCAAGUCGAGCGGACCUUUUAAAAGCUUGCUUUUGAAAGGUCAGCGGCGGACGGGUGAGUAACACGUGGGCAACCUGCCUGUAAGACUGGGAUAACUUCGGGAAACCGGAGCUAAUACCGGAUAAUAUAAGGAACCUCCUGGUUCUUUAUUGAAAGAUGGUUUCGGCUAUCACUUACAGAUGGGCCCGCGGCGCAUUAGCUAGUUGGUGAGGUAAUGGCUCACCAAGGCGACGAUGCGUAGCCGACCUGAGAGGGUGAUCGGCCACACUGGGACUGAGACACGGCCCAGACUCCUACGGGAGGCAGCAGUAGGGAAUCUUCCACAAUGGACGAAAGUCUGAUGGAGCAACGCCGCGUGAGCGAUGAAGGCCUUCGGGUCGUAAAGCUCUGUUGUUAGGGAAGAACAAGUGCGAGAGUAACUGCUCGCACCUUGACGGUGCCUAACCAGAAAGCCACGGCUAACUACGUGCCAGCAGCCGCGGUAAUACGUAGGUGGCAAGCGUUGUCCGGAAUUAUUGGGCGUAAAGCGCGCGCAGGUGGUCCUUUAAGUCUGAUGUGAAAGCCCACGGCUCACCCGUGGAGGGUCAUUGGAAACUGGGGGACUUGAGUGCAGAAGAGGAGAGU